RNAcentral lists this ribosomal RNA (253 nucleotides) under uncultured bacterium. Its description in RNAcentral is "partial 16S ribosomal RNA". It matches the Rfam family "Bacterial small subunit ribosomal RNA", at positions 524 to 776 of the family's 1533-position model. The record is from RNAcentral.
UACAGAGGGGGCAAGCGUUAUUCGGAAUUAUUGGGCGUAAAGGGCGCGUAGGCGGCCUGGCAAGUGGAUGGUGAAAUCCCUCGGCUUAACCGAGGAACUGCCUGUCAAACUGCAUGGCUUGAGACCAGGAGAGGUGAGUGGAAUUCCCAGUGUAGCGGUGAAAUGCGUAGAUAUUGGGAGGAACACCAGUGGCGAAGGCGGCUCACUGGACUGGUACUGACGCUGAUGCGCGAAAGCGUGGGGAGCAAACAGG